UGGGGAAUUUUGGACAAUGGGCGCAAGCCUGAUCCAGCAAUGCCGCGUGCAGGAUGAAGGCCUUCGGGUUGUAAACUGCUUUUGUACGGAGCGAAAAGGUCUGCCCUAAUACGGUGGGCUCAUGACGGUACCGUAAGAAUAAGCACCGGCUAACUACGUGCCAGCAGCCGCGGUAAUACGUAGGGUGCGAGCGUUAAUCGGAAUUACUGGGCGUAAAGCGUGCGCAGGCGGCUAUGCAAGACAGAGGUGAAAUCCCCGGGCUCAAACUGGGAACUGCCUUUGUGACUGCAAAGCUAGAGUACGGUAGAAGGGGAUGGAAUUCCGCGUGUAGCAGUGAAAUGCGUAGAUAUGCGGAGGAACACCGAUGGCGAAGGCAAUCCCCUGGACCUGUACUGACGCUCAUGCACGAGAGCGUGGGGAGCAAACA
This 427-nucleotide ribosomal RNA is filed under the name uncultured bacterium. Its description in RNAcentral is "bacterial SSU rRNA". It matches the Rfam family "Bacterial small subunit ribosomal RNA", at positions 355 to 774 of the family's 1533-position model. The record is from RNAcentral.